ACCAAACAAGUGUAUAUACAUUGUCUACAACAUGUAUCUUAACAAUUUACAUUAGGUUCGUCUAUACACAACAAAAUAAUACUCGACUUCCAGCGGAGGGACUCGGAUGAAUGUACAACUACUAAAUGCCGAGACACCUACCAAAAGAUGGAUAUAAGUCUACAAGGACACCUCAUCCUAGUUACCUGCUGCUUCGUGAUC
Molecule: long non-coding RNA, 201 nt
Filed under: Theobroma cacao (cacao)
Lineage: Eukaryota; Viridiplantae; Streptophyta; Magnoliopsida; Malvales; Malvaceae
Description: long non-coding RNA (TCAC_LNC006195)
Source: RNAcentral